AUGCAAGAGCUAAUGCACCUGGGGGACUCCUUGCUUCAGGGCACUGCCAACAGAAGAAGGGUAACAAAGUUAAGGAAGCAAUUAAGAAACCGAUGUCGAUGCUCCAAGGGAGGUUGGCUCUUUGGUGAAGCCACGGGGCACAGAGGUGAGAUUUCACCCCCCUGUGCCACCGUGGGAACUUGCAGAAUUGCUGCCUCCGAGUCCUCCUGGGCCUGUAGGACAUUAAACUGUCCUCUGGCUGCACCCUGCUGCCUGGGGCAUCGCUGUGCCCGUCCAGCCUCAGCUUCUGGCCUGGAAUUGGGGCAGAAAGCACACGGUGGCCUCUCCACUCUGACGCUGCAAAGCAAGAGCAAGGGGAGCAGGACACCCCCAGAGCCCACAGCAAGCAGGGAGCAAAAAAACAAAGCCCGAGCAUCCAAGCAGGCAGCUCUGGCUCUGUCCUGCAUCCCCGGGGUCACGGUUAUCGCUGCCCUGGGGACAGGGCCAGCCUUGCCCACCGUGCCAGCAAAACCCCACGGGAUGGGGAGCGCAGCAGCGGGCUGGUGGCGGUGCGAUGCGUGCUGGUGGCGAGGAGCGGUGAGCCGGCGGUGUGGUGGAGUUUUGUCAGCACCGUGUGGAAGAGCUGCGGCACUGCACGCUGCAGACCAGCCAGACGUGGCCCAAAAGCAUCCCCAAAUAAUUGCAAAACCUUCCGUGAGCUGGCUCAGAGCUAACACCGGGCACCGGGCAAUGGCCCCACGCUUCUGCGCUCCCGGUGCCAGGUCUGGUGGAGGGCAGGAGAGAAGGGCUGGGGGGAGCCGAGCAGCCCCCAUGUCCUUCCAGGAGCCUCCCCACCCUCAGCCUGGCUGGUUUCUCACAGCUCCAAAGCCAGAAUUCAAUUGGAAGCAAAGUCAAAGUGUUCAAAGGCUUCAAAAAUCUCCGCACUUGGCUCAACCAGGCACGGGGAUGCCCCUGUUCCUGCCCCAGCUCGUGCACCAGCUCGCCCCAGAGCAGCCUCCCUGCUCCCCCGUGCUAUUUCCCAUGGGUGCACACUGA
Molecule: long non-coding RNA, 1035 nt
Filed under: Anser cygnoides (Swan goose)
Lineage: Eukaryota; Metazoa; Chordata; Aves; Anseriformes; Anatidae
Description: lncRNA (ENSACDG00005011426.1)
Source: RNAcentral